Molecule: ribosomal RNA, 497 nt
Filed under: uncultured bacterium
Lineage: Bacteria
Description: partial 16S ribosomal RNA
Rfam family: Bacterial small subunit ribosomal RNA
Source: RNAcentral
GAUGAACGCUGGCGGCGUGCCUAAUACAUGCCAGUCGAGCGAACGGACGAGAAGCUUGCUUCUCUGAUGUUAGCGGCGGACGGGUGAGUAACACGUGGAUAACCUACCUAUAAGACUGGGAUAACUUCGGGAAACCGGAGCUAAUACCGGAUGAUAUUUUGAACCGCAUGGUUCAAAAGUGAAAGACGGUCUUGCUGUCACUUAUAGAUGGAUCCGCGCUGCAUUAGCUAGUUGGUAAGGUAACGGCUUACCAAGGCAACGAUGCAUAGCCGGCCUGAGAGGGUGAUCGGCCACACUGGAACUGAGACACGGUCCAGACUCCUACGGGAGGCAGCAGUAGGGAAUCUUCCGCAAUGGGCGAAAGCCUGACGGAGCAACGCCGCGUGAGUGAUGAAGGUCUUCGGAUCGUAAAACUCUGUUAUUAGGGAAGAACAUAUGUGUAAGUAACUGUGCACAUCUUGACGGUACCUAAUCAGAAAGCCACGGCUAACUACGUG